This 20-nucleotide non-coding RNA is filed under the name Arabidopsis thaliana (thale cress). The record is from RNAcentral. Lineage: Eukaryota; Viridiplantae; Streptophyta; Magnoliopsida; Brassicales; Brassicaceae.
CCAAGGGUCGAGAGGCUUGC